CGGACGGGUGAGUAAUGUCUGGGAAACUGCCUGAUGGAGGGGGAUAACUACUGGAAACGGCAGCUAAUACCGCAUAAUGUCGCAAGACCAAAGAGGGGGACCUUCGGGCCUCUUGCCAUCGGAUGUGCCCAGAUGGGAUUAGUUUGUUGGUGGGGUAACGGCUCACCAAGGCGACGAUCCCUAGCUGGUCUGAGAGGAUGACCAGCCACACUGGAACUGAGACACGGUCCAG
RNAcentral lists this ribosomal RNA (232 nucleotides) under uncultured bacterium. RNAcentral describes it as "partial 16S ribosomal RNA". It matches the Rfam family "Bacterial small subunit ribosomal RNA", at positions 99 to 334 of the family's 1533-position model. The record is from RNAcentral.